This 767-nucleotide long non-coding RNA is filed under the name Manihot esculenta (cassava). RNAcentral describes it as "long non-coding RNA (MESC_LNC007544)". Lineage: Eukaryota; Viridiplantae; Streptophyta; Magnoliopsida; Malpighiales; Euphorbiaceae. The record is from RNAcentral.
AGGUCAAGCACUACUAUAAUCCUCAAUACAUCAUCAAAUCAUUCAUUACAUUACAUGGUCAUAAAUACUCAUUACAUCAUGUUCAUGUCCACUACUAUCUAUUACAACAUACAUGACUUGACUUCACUCUAGCCGACUUCUUGAUCUAUCCUGUACCUGCAACUCUGGGAAUAAAGGGAGUGGGGUGAGCUACUAGAGCCCAGUGAGCAGAAACUAAAAACAUUUGUUUUAAUUCCUCCAUUUUUAGGUAUAUUAUUAUUCAUUUUAUUAUUAUUAUUAUCAUUUAACUUUUUCUUUCUUUUUCUUAUUCAUGCUUUCAUGUAUGCGCCAUAACACAAACAUUUCACAACAAGGAUGAACUUGUCACCAUUUAGCCCCUAUCUUUCUUACUUAUACAUGCCGGGGGCGUAGAGCCGUAGCAGGCACACCCGGACUUCCAUAAUCAGUCAUAGUGCCAGGGGCGUAGAGCCGUAGCAGGCACACCUGGACUCACAUAGGCUAUCAUGACAUACGAGGGCUAAUGGAUCAUUCAACAUUCAUCCACAUCAACAACAAAGUAUGCAAUGCAACAUAUUCGUGAAUUCUAAUGCAAACAACCUAAUAUUGCAUGGCAUAAUGAUGCAUGGGCAAUGCUUUAUGAUUCAUUCAUUUAUUCAUUUACUUUAAAACUUAAGGGGUUGUUCCACUCACCUGAUAACUGAAGCUUUAACAACGAACUCUGAACGACUAUCUCACAACCGGGGGUCUCGGUUCCUCGGGUCCGAACC